AGCAGCCGCGGUAAUUCCAGCUCCAAUAGCGUAUAUUAAAGUUGUUGCAGUUAAAAAGCUCGUAGUUGAAUUUCGGGGUUAGUAGGUUGGUCAUGCCUCUGGUAUGUACUGGUCUCACUGAUUCCUCCUUCCUGAUGAGCCGUAAUGCCAUUAAUUUGGUGUUUUGGGGAAUUUGGACUGUUACUUUGAAAAAAUUAGAGUGUUUAAAGCAAGCUAACGCUUGAAUACAUUAGCAUGGAAUAAUGAAAUAGGACGUUCGAUCCUAUUUUGUUGGUUUCUAGGAUUGACGUAAUGAUUAAUAGGGAUAGUUGGGGGCAUUAGUAUUCAAUUGUCAGAGGUGAAAUUCUUGGAUUUAUUGAAGACUAACUACUGCGAAAGCAUUUGUCAAGGAUGUUUUCAUUAAUCAAGAACGAAAGUUAGGGGAUCGAAGACGAUCAGAUACCGUCGUAGUCUUAACCAUAAACUAUGCCCGACUAGGGAUCGGAUGAUGUUAAUUUUUAAUGACUCAUUCGGCGCCUUA
This 520-nucleotide ribosomal RNA is filed under the name uncultured Glomus. Its description in RNAcentral is "SSU rRNA". It matches the Rfam family "Eukaryotic small subunit ribosomal RNA", at positions 569 to 1090 of the family's 1831-position model. Lineage: Eukaryota; Fungi; Glomeromycota; Glomeromycetes; Glomerales; Glomeraceae. The record is from RNAcentral.